AACCCAAAACAACUAAGCUUCAUUCUCAAACUAGUUGGAUUUGGCUAUAUGGAUUAAUUUUCACCAUAAAUGUUGAGCCCAAAAUCAGGUCACUUCAGGAAUUGGUGAGUGAGAGUCCAGUGUGAUUUAUGUUUUAUUUUUGAUGGUGGGCUAGAGGACAUUUGGUAAUCAAGCAAGAGAGAGGUAGCAAGGAGUGCAUGCUACUUUCUAACAAAAUUUUUUGGUCAAGGAUCAGAUGCCUACAAUGUCAUAGCAUCUUAUUCAAAGGUUUUCAAGAGUGCUAUUAAAGAUGCCAGGCGAGGUGUGCCCCAAUCCCAAGAGGCGAGCACCCCUGUCACCUAGGUGCUGAGGCGCUAGGCCAGGCCAAGCGAGGCGUGCCUCUUUUAAAGUAACUUUAAAAAAAAAAAAAAUUUAUGUUUUAGGGUUUCUCUCUUCUUCUAUUCUCUCCUUCUCUUCUCUCCUCCUCCUCCUCCUCCACUCCUUUUCUCUUCUUCUCUCAUUCUCUCAUCACGCCAUCUUUUA
Molecule: unclassified non-coding RNA, 522 nt
Filed under: Hevea brasiliensis (rubber tree)
Lineage: Eukaryota; Viridiplantae; Streptophyta; Magnoliopsida; Malpighiales; Euphorbiaceae
Source: RNAcentral